RNAcentral lists this long non-coding RNA (2064 nucleotides) under Zea mays. RNAcentral's name for it is "long non-coding RNA (ZMAY_LNC000737)". The record is from RNAcentral. Lineage: Eukaryota; Viridiplantae; Streptophyta; Magnoliopsida; Poales; Poaceae.
GUUAACUCUGGAAGGCGAGUCCUACCACAAGAGCUGCUUCAAGUGCUCGCACGGCGGCUGCAUCCUGACCACCUCCUCUUAUGCCGCGCUCAACGGCGUCUUGUACUGCAAGAUCCACUUCGCGCAGCUGUUCAUGGAGAAGGGGAGCUACAACCACAUGAACAAGAAGAGCCCGUCCCAGGAGGUUCUGCCGGACGUGGCUGACGAGGAGCAACCGCCGGAACCAGCGCCACCGCAAGAUGAGAAAGAAGAGGACAACUAGGAUCGGAGCGACCAACAACCACCCAUGCAUAUAUAUCACGCAGACUGAAGUCUACACGUUUGCCAUAUUUCUUUACGACGACGACGCUUCUUUAUUCCCUCCUCCCUUUUUUUUCCUCUUAAUCUCUCUGUGAACCCGGUUUAUCAUCACGCUGCAAUCAAGUGUGCCAGAUGCCUUCGUUACGUCUGAGGCUCACGACAAUGGAAAAUCUGACAUGGACCUGUCUUAGCCUCGCGGAAAAAAAUUGUAACUUUGUAAGCAGAGCCACUUCUUUGAAUAUAUGAUCCUAACAACGCUGCCCUUAAUACUUAUGCAGUUGUUCUAUACUUCUAUAGUUGCCACCACAUCCGUUACAUCACUGUGUGUGUGUGUGUGUGUGUGUGUGAGAGAGAGAGAGAGAGAGAGAGAGAGAGAGAGAGAGAGAGAGAGAGAGAGAGAGAGAGUAACCCUUGAAAAGUUACACAAAGGGUACUUCUUCUCUGCGGAAGAAGAACACGCCAGUUGGGCCUCCUUCCGGCAAUAGCGCCACCGCAACAAUGCAACUGGCACCGUCUUCCGCGGUGUAUUCGCCGGUGUCAAAGUUGAUGUCGGUCUUGCAGAAGCCAGGGUGCACGCAGUUGAUGCGCAACUCUGGGUGCGCCUUCGCCAGUAUCCUGGUGUAGCCAUUGGUCAGAGCCUUGGAUACCUUGUAGGCCAGGUACUCAGAGUCGGCAGGCCACCCAUGAGAUUUCAGCUGCCCACUCCUGUAGUCUUUCAGGAACAACUCCGGCAUCUCAUCUAGCCUCUCAACCGUCAGGUUGUCAAUAUCGUUUAGCUCUUGCUUAAGAUCUUCGCCACUGAAAUGCUGGAAAACAAAGACGAAGAAUUGGAUAACGAAAAUUGUAGUUCCAUUCCAUCUGAGGAUUAGUGCCUGCAGAUUAAAUUGUUGUAUGAUUGUUCAGAACUUCAGAUAUAUAGGUAUACCUGGAGUAGUCCAUAGUUGGAUGACACGUUGAUGAGCCGUCCGUCAGAGGAGGAUAUAAGGAUUGGGAGGAGUGCUUCGGUCACAUAUUUGGUGCCGAAGUAGUUUAUUUUCAGGCAUUCUCUUGCUUCCUCGUAACUCUCCGUGGAGUGCUGCACCAACCAUUGUAGCCUCUCCAUGGCGUUCUUGCCUACGAGCUGUUUGAUGCACCGGGUUAAGCCAAGUUUACCACUUCAGCUCAAGGGACCAAGAAAAGGGAAACUACAAAGAGACCACUACUACUGCUAGUUCUAAUCUUGCAUAGUAGAACCAAGCACUAACUUAAAUGGUCGACUAAGUACCAUAACGCUCCUUGAACCCAAGAAUAUGCAACUUGAUGGUUAUAAUUGUGUUCUUUUUUCAUCUUAUGUUGGACUACUCUUUCCCUCAGCAUUCUGGUUCACUUCGAAUUUGAUUGUGCCCAGUAGCAGUGAUCCAUUCGAUAUCUUGGAAAGCUUCAAAGAACAACUCCCCUUCUUCAUGGAGAUUGCAAUCACAAUUUGUUGGGCUAUUUGGGCAAUAAUGCGCAAUGACACCAUUUUAAGCAACAUGCCACAUUCAGUGUAAAUUAAAGAUGCAAGAUUGUCUUGAAGAAACAGUUUCCUCUAGUUAUCCUAAGAGCUAAAGAAAAUUACCACUCCUACAUAGAUUUAUGGCUAGAAGCCAUUGUGUAAUUCUUUCUAUUUUCUUUUUGACCUUUUUUUUUGUCUCUUGAGGAUUGUUUGCUAUCUGAUCAACCUGUCUCAUCUUUAAGGGACGCUUUCUAUCUACGCCCCCUCUAUGAAAUGUACUUGUAUGUGAU